GCGCUGAGUCAGCAGCAGUGGGCGCUGCUCUUCGUGUGCGAGGAGACGUCUUUCUUCCUGACUGGGCCUUUGUAGGAAGUCCAGCUCGGUGGAAGCGCUUGCAUAAGCGUCCGUGAGUCUGGUUCUAUAUGGUACGUGUGACGAACAGGAACCGGGUCCAAGCCCGUCCAGGUCAGAAGCAGUUCCUGGUGGGAGCUGCUUUGCCUCAUCUCCCGGUCCGACCUGUCGUGGUUCUGCCUCACGGACCUCGUGUCCUGCUUUGGCUUCGUCACCGUGAGUCUGAGCUUCCACCUCAGGAGCCGCAGAGCGUCGUUCUAAUUCCACUGGUGCGUUGCCCGUUUGAUGACUCACUGCUUGUUGUAUCAUGGUUUUAUUCUGUGUCUCAGUCUCCACCAACACCAACAUCAUUGCCGUCAGUAUCGUGCUUGUUUUGUGUGUCGCGAGGAGCCAGGAGGCAGCAAAAACAACUCAUAACCUCAUAUCAGCGACUUCAAUGGGGAUUAAACCACUUCUCCCCCAUUUAAUAGGAAACAUUCUGCAGCAUCUUGACCUAGUUUUACAAUGAAAUAUUCAACAGCUUCUUCAUUUUUUACAGACAACCCAAAGUCAAUCGUAACGUUUUUCUGCAGUUUCGUCAUAUUUAAUUGAAUUGGUUUAGAUAUUUUUAGGGACUUAUUUCUGUGACUCUCAGGCGUUUCAGUGAAUAAGUCUCUGCUCUGCGUUCUCCCGAACGCAUGAGGCAGCGUGAACAAUUCAUGCAAAUGGACUCAAUCGAGGCUGGAAUCUGCAUAAACAGAGCUGCUGGUGGGAGGGUGGAGGUGAGGGAGCGCCGCCAGCGGAGCAGCGACUCCUCAGUCCUUCACGAGGCUGUGACCUUUGCUGGCGCGUUUGUGUAUUUCUCUGUUUAUUAUGCGUUUGCGUGAACCGAGGAGCUGCAUCAAGAAUAGAGAAGCUGCUGCUUCCUGCUCGAACGGCGGUGCCUCCACAGACUCAGCCGCUCAUCACCGCUCACAGGCAUCCUGCUUCUUCCUCAUGGGGGUGAAUGCUGCAGGCCACAGAGCAGAGGCUGCUGCAGGUACCGUGGUCCCAGCAGCAGCGUGGAAACCAGGUUUGAUUCUCCCAGGUGACAACGCAGGUCGCAGAGGGGAUGUGUGGGGCGAAGGCUCGUGCCUCAACGUGAGAGCGUUUCUUAUAAGUGUCACUUUAUGCAAGAUGCAUAUGAAUGAGCCACAAAUA
This 1236-nucleotide long non-coding RNA is filed under the name Betta splendens (Siamese fighting fish). RNAcentral's name for it is "lncRNA (ENSBSLG00000005782.1)". Lineage: Eukaryota; Metazoa; Chordata; Actinopteri; Anabantiformes; Osphronemidae. The record is from RNAcentral.